GACGAACGCUGGCGGCGUGCUUAACACAUGCAAGUCGAACGGAAAGGCCCUGCUUUUGUGGGGUGCUCGAGUGGCGAACGGGUGAGUAACACGUGAGUAACCUGCCCUUGACUUUGGGAUAACUUCAGGAAACUGGGGCUAAUACCGGAUAGGAGCUCCUGCUGCAUGGUGGGGGUUGGAAAGUUUCGGCGGUUGGGGAUGGACUCGCGGCUUAUCAGCUUGGUGGUGGGGUAGUGGCUUACCAAGGCUUUGACGGGUAGCCGGCCUGAGAGGGUGACCGGCCACAUUGGGACUGAGAUACGGCCCAGACUCCUACGGGAGGCAGCAGUGGGGAAUAUUGCACAAUGGGCGGAAGCCUGAUGCAGCAACGCCGCGUGCGGGAUGACGGCCUUCGGGUUGUAACCCGCUUUCGCCUGUGACGAAGCGUGAGUGACGGUAAUGGGUAAAGAAGCACCGGCUAACUACGUG
This 468-nucleotide ribosomal RNA is filed under the name uncultured bacterium. RNAcentral's name for it is "partial 16S ribosomal RNA". It matches the Rfam family "Bacterial small subunit ribosomal RNA", at positions 28 to 507 of the family's 1533-position model. The record is from RNAcentral.